Non-coding RNA from Camellia sinensis, 467 nucleotides. NCBI's taxonomy places the organism in Eukaryota, Viridiplantae, Streptophyta, Magnoliopsida, Ericales, Theaceae. The record is from RefSeq and is a predicted model, not a curated record.
UCUUAAAAAGCCAAAAAGUCAUCCCAAACAUACUAGUUUUUUUUAACUCAUAUUUUAGCCAAAUAGCUAAAAAGUUACUAAAUUAGCAUGUUCCCAAACGAGACCUAGUUUGUUUUAGUUUUUAAAUUCAAAUGCAGAGGAAGGCGCAAAUGUAGCGGUUGGCUGAAUUUAUUUUCUUUUGUUGUAUGGAUAUGUAGGGCUGCUACAAUUCCAAGAGCCAAAGGGAAACUUGUCGAAGAGAUCACUCCACUGUAAUGUAGAGAAGUUUGAAUUUUAGGCUGAGGUGUCUCGGCUUAUGGACAUCAUUAUCAACUCACUUUACAGCAAUAAAGAUAUCUUCUUUAGAGAAUAUAUUUGGCAUGGUAGUGAAUAUAUUUGUAUACGGAGGACAUGUUUUGUUCUGAUUCUCUGUUUUGUAUGGAAUAAUAUUAUUAUUUUAGAUUGGAAUAUACUUAAUUUGUAUGGAA